This 339-nucleotide unclassified non-coding RNA is filed under the name soil metagenome. RNAcentral's name for it is "partial contains 5.8S ribosomal RNA, internal transcribed spacer 2, and large subunit ribosomal RNA". The stretch from base 1 to 120 matches the Rfam family "5.8S ribosomal RNA", at positions 35 to 154 of the family's 154-position model. The record is from RNAcentral.
GAUGAAGAACGUAGCGAAAUGCGAUACGUAGUGUGAAUUGCAGAAUUCAGUGAAUCAUCGAAUCUUUGAACGCACAUUGCACCUCUCGGUAUUCCGGGAGGUAUGCCUGUUCGAGCAUCAUUUGUACCCUCAAGCUCUGCUUGGUGUUGGGUGUUUGUUCCGCCUCUGUGUGUGAACUCGCCUCAAAACAAUUGGCAGCCGGCGUACUUGUUUCGGAGCGCAGCACAUUUUGCGAUCCAGAUCAACGUACAGCGGCAUCCAAGAAGCCUUAUUUAACGCUCUUGACCUCGGAUCAGGUAGGGAUACCCGCUGAACUUAAGCAUAUCAAUAAGCGGAGGA